This 526-nucleotide ribosomal RNA is filed under the name uncultured bacterium. RNAcentral describes it as "bacterial SSU rRNA". It matches the Rfam family "Bacterial small subunit ribosomal RNA", at positions 76 to 599 of the family's 1533-position model. The record is from RNAcentral.
UACUUCGGUGGUGCUGGCGACCGGCGCACGGGUGAGUUCCGCGUUUGUAACCUACCUCUAACUGGGGCAUAGCUCCCGGAAACGGGAAUUAAUUCCCCAUAAUAUUUAAACAUGGCAUCAUGUUUUCAUUAAAGCUCCGGCGGUUAGGGAUGGGCAUGCGUGACAUUAGCUUGUUGGNAAGGUAACGGCUUACCAAGGCUACGAUGUCUCGGGGGUCUGAGAGGAUGAUCCCCCACACUGGUACUGAGACACGGACCAGACUCCUACGGGAGGCAGCAGUGAGGAAUAUUGGGCAAUGGACGCAAGUCUGACCCAGCCAUGCCGCGUGCAGGAUGACGGCUCUAUGAGUUGUAAACUGCUUUUGUUAAGGAAGAAACCCUCUGACGUGUCAGAGGUUGACGGUACUUUACGAAUAAGCAUCGGCUAACUCCGUGCCAGCAGCCGCGGUAAUACGGAGGAUGCAAGCGUUAUCCGGAUUUAUUGGGUUUAAAGGGUGCGUAGGCGGGACUAUUAGUCAGUGGUGAAA